CUGGUUGAUCCUGCCAGUAGCAUAUGCUUGUCUCAAAGAUUAAGCCAUGCAAGUCUAAGUACACACGGCCGGUACAGUGAAACUGCGAAUGGCUCAUUAAAUCAGUUAUGGUUCCUUUGAUCGCUCUCACGUUACUUGGAUAACUGUGGCAAUUCUAGAGCUAAUACAUGCAAACGAGCGCUGACCUCCGGGGAUGCGUGCAUUUAUCAGAUUCAAAACCCAUGCGGGGUGCCUCUCGGGGUGCCCCGGCCGCUUUGGUGACUCUAGAUAACCUCGAGCCGAUCGCUGGCCCCCGUGGCGGCGACGUCUCAUUCGAAUGUCUGCCCUAUCAACUUUCGAUGGUACUUUAUGUGCCUACCAUGGUGACCACGGGUAACGGGGAAUCAGGGUUCGAUUCCGGAGAGGGAGCCUGAGAAACGGCUACCACAUCCAAGGAAGGCAGCAGGCGCGCAAAUUACCCACUCCCGACUCGGGGAGGUAGUGACGAAAAAUAACAAUACAGGACUCUUUCGAGGCCCUGUAAUUGGAAUGAGUACACUUUAAAUCCUUUAACGAGGAUCAAUUGGAGGGCAAGUCUGGUGCCAGCAGCCGCGGUAAUUC
Molecule: ribosomal RNA, 600 nt
Filed under: uncultured eukaryote
Lineage: Eukaryota
Description: SSU rRNA
Rfam family: Eukaryotic small subunit ribosomal RNA
Source: RNAcentral